GACGAACGCUGGCGGCGUGCUUAACACAUGCAAGUCGAACGGAAAGGCCCUGCUUUUGUGGGGUGCUCGAGUGGCGAACGGGUGAGUAACACGUGAGUAACCUGCCCUUGACUUUGGGAUAACUUCAGGAAACUGGGGCUAAUACCGGAUAGGAGCUCCUGCUGCAUGGUGGGGGUUGGAAAGUUUCGGCGGUUGGGGAUGGACUCGCGGCUUAUCAGCUUGUUGGUGGGGUAGUGGCUUACCAAGGCUUUGACGGGUAGCCGGCCUGAGAGGGUGACCGGCAACAUUGGGACUGGGAUACGGCCCAGACUCCUACGGGAGGCAGCAGUGGGGAAUAUUGCACAAUGGGCGGAAGCCUAAUGCAGCAACGCCGCGUGCGGGAUGACGGCCUUCGGGUGGUAAACCGCUUUCGCCUGUGACGAAGCGUGGGUGACGGUAAUGGGUAAAGAAGCACCGGCUAACUACGU
Molecule: ribosomal RNA, 467 nt
Filed under: uncultured bacterium
Lineage: Bacteria
Description: partial 16S ribosomal RNA
Rfam family: Bacterial small subunit ribosomal RNA
Source: RNAcentral